GUCCAUGGCCAUACCACACAACGCGCCUGAUCUCGUCUGGUCUUGGAAGUUAAGCAGGGUCGGGCCUGGUUAGUACUUGGAUGGGAGAAACUUUAAAAUGGAGAAAGCUGGCAUACACC
RNAcentral lists this ribosomal RNA (119 nucleotides) under Propithecus coquereli (Coquerel's sifaka). Lineage: Eukaryota; Metazoa; Chordata; Mammalia; Primates; Indriidae. The record is from RNAcentral.